UACGAAGGGGGCUAGCGUUGUUCGGAAUUACUGGGCGUAAAGCGCACGUAGGCGGACAUUUAAGUCAGGGGUGAAAUCCCAGAGCUCAACUCUGGAACUGCCUUUGAUACUGGGUGUCUUGAGUAUGGAAGAGGUGAGUGGAAUUCCGAGUGUAGAGGUGAAAUUCGUAGAUAUUCGGAGGAACACCAGUGGCGAAGGCGGCUCACUGGUCCAUUACUGACGCUGAGGUGCGAAAGCGUGGGGAGCAAACAGG
Molecule: ribosomal RNA, 253 nt
Filed under: uncultured bacterium
Lineage: Bacteria
Description: partial 16S ribosomal RNA
Rfam family: Bacterial small subunit ribosomal RNA
Source: RNAcentral